UACGUAGGGGGCAAGCGUUGUCCGGAAUCAUUGGGCGUAAAGCGCGUGUAGGCGGCUCGAUAAGUCUGCUGUAAAAGUCCAGGGCUCAACCCUGGAAAGCCGGUGGAAACUGUCGAGCUAGAGUCCGGAAGAGGCGAGUGGAAUUCCUGGUGUAGCGGUGAAAUGCGCAGAUAUCAGGAGGAACACCAAUGGCGAAGGCAGCUCGCUGGGACGGUACUGACGCUGAUGCACGAAAGCUGGGGGAGCAAACAGG
This 253-nucleotide ribosomal RNA is filed under the name uncultured bacterium. RNAcentral's name for it is "partial 16S ribosomal RNA". It matches the Rfam family "Bacterial small subunit ribosomal RNA", at positions 524 to 776 of the family's 1533-position model. The record is from RNAcentral.